AACCAUUCUCACCUGCGGCUAGACCUGCGGAAGGAUCAUUACCUAGAGUUGUAGGCUUUGCCUGCUAUCUCUUACCCAUGUCUUUUGAGUACCUUACGUUUCCUCGGCGGGUUCGCCCGCCGGUUGGACAAAACUUAAACCCUUUGUAGUUGCAAUCAGCGUCUGAAAAAACUUAAUAGUUACAACUUUCAGCAAUGGAUCU
RNAcentral lists this unclassified non-coding RNA (202 nucleotides) under soil metagenome. RNAcentral describes it as "partial contains 5.8S ribosomal RNA, internal transcribed spacer 2, and large subunit ribosomal RNA". The record is from RNAcentral.